This is a non-coding RNA of Ictidomys tridecemlineatus (thirteen-lined ground squirrel), 625 nucleotides long. NCBI's taxonomy places the organism in Eukaryota, Metazoa, Chordata, Mammalia, Rodentia, Sciuridae. The record is from RefSeq and is a predicted model, not a curated record.
UUAUUGGAAUAGAUGAAGAUGUGGAAACAUAAAACCAAAGAAAUACACAAUCUUUUCAAUGAAAUAAUAUCAGAAAAUUUCCCCAACCUAAAGAAUGAAGUGAAGAAUCGAAUACAGGAGGUUUACAUGUAGUCUGUUUGGGUACAGAAUAGAAGAUACAGACAUAAACCCACUUAAAUACAGUUAUCACAUACUAGACAUGAUAUGAAUACAAGAAUUGGUAAGAUUUUGCAAUUUUACUGCUAGGAAGGAAAAUGGCCUGAGAACCAGAGUUGACUCUAAUAAUUUCUGCUAGACCCUGUGUUACCUAUGGCUUUGCAGGACAAAGGAAUUGGAGAGGAAUGUCUGAUGUUGGCCUUGCCUUUUCACAAGGCAACUCCCUUGCAGGUAGAUAAGUAGGUCAGGUAAGAACCAGCGGGUACACCAGCAGAACUCCACUGAGGAUCCCAGAGGACUCCAGAUUGACUGUGCAUCAUCUGCGCCUUAUUCUUCUCAUCAGUUAUUAAUUUAUGCUAAACUCGGUGAAGUUUACAACUUCUUAUAUAACUUCUUAGAAAGAAAGCUUUUCUCUCACUUACUAGUGCUGAAGCCCAGUUCCAGCAUUGUGCUCUCUGUCACAUUUCCA